AUGUUAGAAGAAAAGGAAGAAGUUCGGGUCAAAGAAGGAAGGAAUAUAAACAAAAGUGAAAUAAUACAACUAUCAGAAAAUAUGUGUGAUAAUACAUCUUCUGAUGCUGCUGCUGGAUUAACCCAGGGAAGAAAGAUUGAGAAAAUGUAUCCUCAGCAAUUUCCCAAGAAGGUGAAGGAAGAGCAUGAUGGAUGCACCUUAAAACAAGAAAAUGAAGAGAAAAGUAAUAAUAAUAUGCUGUACAAAAUAACUAAGGAAGAGUUGGAAAGACAACAGGGACCAUAUGUGGGAGAAGUUAAAGCCAAACAACAACUUGAACUAACUGUUCAGUCAUUAGAGAUGGAACUGAAGACCUUAAGAAUACUCAAAAUCAGGAUUUUCAUAAUCAUGAAAAAAAAUGAUAGAUCUUAUGCAUGAAAAUGGCAUUUUGAAGACAGAUAUUGCUAUACUCAGACAGGAAAUAGAGACAAUCAAAAAGGACAGCCUUGAAAAAGAAAAUAAAUAUUUUAAGAACAUUAAAAGUAUUAAAGAAAGAAACGCUGAGCUUGAAAAGAGUACAAAAUUCAAUGAGGAAAUGACAACAAAAACAGUAUCUCAGUAUCAACAACAGCUUAAUGAUCUGAAAGCUGAAAACACAAGGCUCAAUUCUGAACUGGAAAAGAAAAAAGAAAACAAAGGAAGACUGGAAGCCAAAAUUGAAUCCUAUUGGUCUAGACUGGCUGCUGCUAUAAGUGAACACAAUCAAAGGGUGAAAACAGAAAGAGACCUCAAGCUUUCUUUACAGAUAGAAUUGAGUGAUAUUUCUGAACUAAAAGUGAGAAUGAGUUUCUUAUGGAACAACUUUCUAAAAUGCAAAUUACAUUCAAUACCUUAAAAGACAAGUUUCAUAAGACAAGAGAUACUCUCAGAAAAAAAGACAUUGGCUUAAGAAACUGUACAAAAGGACCUAAGCAAAACAGAACAGCAACUAAAGGAAAUGAAGGAGAUGUAUCAAAAUGCAGAAGUUAAACAGAAUAAAUCCACUGGAAAGCAGAACUAUGUAGAAGAGAGAAUAUAUGAAUUACAGCAUGAAAAUCUGUGGCUUCAACAGCAACUAGAUGAUGCUCAUCAGAAAGGGGAUAAUAGAAAAAGAGUAAUUAAUGUCAAAGGAGGCUUUAUUGAUCAUGGAAAGGAAGGUUUUCUGCUAGAAGAAAAAAAUAAGUUAAUGAAUAAAUGUAAUCUUUUAAAAGAAAGUCUGUUUCAAUAUGAGAAAGAGAAAGCAGAAAGAGAAGUAUCAAGGAAGAUAAAUACUUUCAAACUUCUGGAAAGAACAUUUAA
This is a non-coding RNA of Callithrix jacchus (white-tufted-ear marmoset), 1317 nucleotides long. The record is from RefSeq and is a predicted model, not a curated record. Lineage: Eukaryota; Metazoa; Chordata; Mammalia; Primates; Cebidae.